CUUGAGAGUUUGAUCCUGGCUCAGAAUGAACGCUGGCGGCGUGCUUAACACAUGCAAGUCGAACGAUGAAGCCUAGCUUGCUAGGUGGAUUAGUGGCGAACGGGUGAGUAAUACGUGAGUGACCUACCUUUGACUCUGGGAUAAGCCUGGGAAACUGGGUCUAAUACCGGAUAGGAGCGUCCACCGCAUGGUGGGUGUUGGAAAGAUUUAUCGGUUUUGGAUGGACUCGCG
Molecule: ribosomal RNA, 231 nt
Filed under: Heterosigma akashiwo
Lineage: Eukaryota; Raphidophyceae; Chattonellales; Chattonellaceae
Description: partial Bacterial small subunit ribosomal RNA
Rfam family: Bacterial small subunit ribosomal RNA
Source: RNAcentral